CCCAGACUCCUACGGGAGGCAGCAGUGGGGGAUAUUGCACAAUGGGGGAAACCCUGAUGCAGCAACGCCGCGUGAGUGAAGAAGUAUUUCGGUAUGUAAAGCUCUAUCAGCAGGGAAGAAGAAGGACGGUACCUGACUAAGAAGCCCCGGCUAACUACGUGCCAGCAGCCGCGGUAAUACGUAGGGGGCGAGCGUUAUCCGGAUUUACUGGGUGUAAAGGGAGCGUAGAUGGUGAAGUAAGUCUGGAGUGAAAGGCGGGGGCCCAACCCCCGGACUGCUCUGGAAACUAUUUGACUGGAGUGCAGGAGAGGUAAGCGGAAUUCCUAGUGUAGCGGUGAAAUGCGUAGAUAUUAGGAGGAACACCAGUGGCGAAGGCGGCUUACUGGACUGUAACUGACGUUGAGGCUCGAAAGCGUGGGGAGCAAACAGGAUUAGAUACCCUAGUA
Molecule: ribosomal RNA, 446 nt
Filed under: uncultured bacterium
Lineage: Bacteria
Description: bacterial SSU rRNA
Rfam family: Bacterial small subunit ribosomal RNA
Source: RNAcentral